UACGUAGGGAGCAAGCGUUGUCCGGAAUCAUUGGGCGUAAAGCGCGCGUAGGCGGUUCGAUAAGUCGGGUGUGAAACCUCCAGGCUCAACCUGGAGACGCCACCCGAUACUGUCGUGACUAGAGUCCAGUAGGGGAGCGUGGAAUUCCCGGUGUAGCGGUGAAAUGCGCAGAUAUCGGGAAGAACACCGGUGGCGAAGGCGGCUCUCUGGGCCUGUCCUGACGCUCAGGCGCGAAAGCUAGGGGAGCGAACAGG
This 254-nucleotide ribosomal RNA is filed under the name uncultured bacterium. RNAcentral's name for it is "partial 16S ribosomal RNA". It matches the Rfam family "Bacterial small subunit ribosomal RNA", at positions 524 to 776 of the family's 1533-position model. The record is from RNAcentral.